RNAcentral lists this ribosomal RNA (257 nucleotides) under uncultured bacterium. RNAcentral's name for it is "partial 16S ribosomal RNA". It matches the Rfam family "Bacterial small subunit ribosomal RNA", at positions 524 to 777 of the family's 1533-position model. The record is from RNAcentral.
UACGUAGGGGGCAAGCGUUGUCCGGAUUUAUUGGGCGUAAAGAGCGUGUAGGCGGUUUGGUAGGUCCGCUGUGAAAACUCGAGGCUCAACCUCGAGACGCCGGUGGAAACCAUCAGGCUAGAGUCCGGAAGAGGAGAGUGGAAUUCCUGGUGUAGCGGUGAAAUGCGCAGAUAUCAGGAGGAACACCAACAGCGAAGGCAGAUCUCUGGGACGUAACUGACGCUGGAGAACGCGGAAAGCGUGGGGAGCAAACACGG